Molecule: ribosomal RNA, 557 nt
Filed under: Mesorhizobium sp. RDB-035
Lineage: Bacteria; Pseudomonadati; Pseudomonadota; Alphaproteobacteria; Hyphomicrobiales; Phyllobacteriaceae
Also listed under: 22 other names
Description: bacterial SSU rRNA
Rfam family: Bacterial small subunit ribosomal RNA
Source: RNAcentral
ACGGGUGAGUAACGCGUGGGAAUCUACCCAUCUCUACGGAACAACUCCGGGAAACUGGAGCUAAUACCGUAUACGUCCUUUUGGAGAAAGAUUUAUCGGAGAUGGAUGAGCCCGCGUUGGAUUAGCUAGUUGGUGGGGUAAUGGCCUACCAAGGCGACGAUCCAUAGCUGGUCUGAGAGGAUGAUCAGCCACACUGGGACUGAGACACGGCCCAGACUCCUACGGGAGGCAGCAGUGGGGAAUAUUGGACAAUGGGCGCAAGCCUGAUCCAGCCAUGCCGCGUGAGUGAUGAAGGCCCUAGGGUUGUAAAGCUCUUUCAACGGUGAAGAUAAUGACGGUAACCGUAGAAGAAGCCCCGGCUAACUUCGUGCCAGCAGCCGCGGUAAUACGAAGGGGGCUAGCGUUGUUCGGAAUUACUGGGCGUAAAGCGCACGUAGGCGGAUACUUAAGUCAGGGGUGAAAUCCCGGGGCUCAACCCCGGAACUGCCUUUGAUACUGGGUAUCUCGAGUCCGGAAGAGGUGAGUGGAAUUCCGAGUGUAGAGGUGAAAUUCGUAGA